RNAcentral lists this long non-coding RNA (10841 nucleotides) under Fragaria vesca (wild strawberry). RNAcentral describes it as "long non-coding RNA (FVES_LNC002648)". The record is from RNAcentral. Lineage: Eukaryota; Viridiplantae; Streptophyta; Magnoliopsida; Rosales; Rosaceae.
CGUACAUUGACUCUCAAGGCAGUUUACAAAUUAUUAAGCAGCUAGAUCAGAAACUUAUCCUUGAUGACAAGUAUAAAAUACGAUCACCCUUAAUCAAGUUAAAACUAAAUACAAUGAUCCUUAGCUUCUUAAGUAGAUUGGUUCAGAUUUUUAAACUUAUUCAUGGCCGGCAGUGCCGUCCCUAACUUCUUCAACACUCAGUUUACUUCUUUCACUCAAGAGUACGUACCUUGAGGAGUUGAGGACUAAGGCUUUCAAUCACAAUAGAGUAAGCUUUCCUUAGCGUCCACCAGCCAUCAUGUUCUCAUUCGAGUCAUCACAGAAAUAUCCAUCGUAUGAGCCGAGGAAAAGUUCUAUAGAUGCUGAUCAGUUACUGUUACGACUGUCACUGUUUAGUUUCAGCAAGCUUUCUGUCAGUGAUCAACAUGAGCACGUAGAUGAAAUCCGGAAAAAGGUAGCUGAAAAUGUCACAGUCCAGCAGCUAUCCGAAGAAAGCAACGAGGGUUUCAGAAUGAGAACAUACACAGAGCUGCUCAAGAAAUUUCCUUUCACUUUCAAAAAUCAUUUCCUGUUCAAAGUUGUCAAGAAAUUCAAGCAUGAGAGGCAAUUUGCGGAAAUAAUUUCUUCGUUCAAGCAACUAGACGCUAGUGAUCAACAAAAGUUGAUCGAGUCAAUCAUUCAUGAUACACCGGAGAAGAUUCUCCAGACUCAUGAGGAAGCUGAUGAGGGUUUCAGACUCCGCAGAAUCACGCAGCUGUCUAGAGAUUACAAUGACCAUGUCUACAAAUGCCUUGUUGAUGGGAAAUAUAUCAUUUCCGGUAAUCAUGACAUUCUUUUGGCUGAGUUGCAGAGUCGGUAUGCAGAUUUUUUCUUUGGUUUAUCAACUAUUUGGUUCCAGGGUCAAACCACAGAUGCUCAAAGAAGGAUGAUUAAACAACUAGAUGGUGAUGAUGUACUCGGGAAACGACUCCGAGAUGAAAGUGAGGAAGAUUUCAAUCUCAGAAGUUUCACAGAGUUGUUUUGUAAGAAAGCAGUCGACUCUCGUCCGCAAGUUUACUUCCUUGACGCUGUUGAAGAGAGACUACUUCAGCAAGAAAAAGGUCUUCCUCACGGUAGGCUCCUUCCACCUCAAGAUUUUGACAGUGCUGCUGAACUACUCUCGAGCCUCUCAACCUUCGGAUUCAGCCUACUCCCCGAGAAGGAUCAACUACACGAGAUUGAAGAAAUGUGUGAGGAAGUUGGAUUUGGUCAUCAUGUGAAUAACCAAAGACAGCAUGCGACAGAGACAAGCGAGGAAGAUUCAAGAAUAAGAAGAUUCAAAGAGCUAUAUGAUCAUCUUUGGGUGGAUAACCGGAUUGAGUUUCUCGAACAACUCACGAAAAAAUUCUUUCGAGAAAGGCAGCUGUGUGAGUCCAUUCUUUUGUUCAGGCGUUUAGGCUCUCCUGAACAAACAGAGACAAUCCAUAAUCUGUUUGAUGGGAUUAUGAAGUCCCACCCAUCAUGGAGAAGACUAGAUGUCAUAGUCGAGAAACUGACAGAGGAGAGUGAUGAGGAUUUUCGGCUCAGCAGAUUCAAGACGAUGUAUAUGGCAGAGAGUUCCUAUGUUUGGAAUUGGUUCUGCCAGGUUGAAGCUCGGAAGCUUGGUCCAAAAGCUACACUACAACUACAUGCAUUUGACAACAAAGAGAUACCUGAACUUCAACAAGCCCGAUUUGCUGAACUCUUCAUGGGUUUGGUAGUCAUUUGGUUCAAAGCGAGAUGCGCCCAUUAUCCAAGAAACCCUGUUCAUGUUAUACUUUCCGGUGAGUUUUUUGAAGUAGAAGAUGCAAGUGAGAAACUUGCUGAAGAAAGUGAGGAGGAUUUCAGACUACGAAGAUUCACAGAGGCGUUUGAGCAACUGGAAUUUGAUUCCAGAGAGCGUAUUGUGAAAUAUAUAAAACUUACAUUAUUUCAUGAUCUAGGUUACAAGCCUAUAGAGCACGAUACCAUGUUCAGAAUUCUCAUGGAAAGGGACGGCAAGGAAUGGGCAUGAUUCAUCAAGCUGAAAUGUUUGAAUCUAAGAGGAGUGGAGGACGAGCAACACGUACAUACUCCAAAUCCAGGAGCAGGAGCAGCAACAAUAUAUUUGCAAUUUCUCUUAUGGCAAGUGUAACAAUAUUUCAGGCACUUUUUGGUUCAUUUUCUUUUCCUUGCAGUUAGUAUUAGUAUGUUACCACCAUGCAUUCUAGUUUGAUGCAAUAAACUUAGAAUGAGUGCUCGAAAUCACAGUUCAUACCGAUCUGUUGCUGAGUUUCGUUACAUUCGAACAAUUGUACUUAAUUUCAUAUUUCAAACUUAUAUGACUAUGCUGCUGCAUUCAUGAGUUGCCUAUGUUAGAAAUUGUUGUGGGCUUUUUUUUUGUUAACAGGAGCUAGGUAGAGCAAAAUGCUCUCCCACCUCAAAUUUAUUAAUAAAAAAGAAAGAUUACAAGCUAGUUGGAUGACACUAAAGUCAGUAUCAGAAAACACCAAAUAAGAGACAUCAAACUACACUGUAAAACAAAAUCAAUGAAAAUGAAAAUUAGGGAGACUGAACUUAUCUCGUUGGUACAUGCCCCGAAAGAAGUGGGGAGGUUCAUCCCACCAAGAUAAUGCAGACAUUGUGUCACACCCCAGGACUCGCUCCGCCGUAACACAAUAUUGUCCGCUUUGGGCCCACCGGCCCUCACGGUUUUGUUUCCAGCAGCUCAGGAGCAGCUUCCCAGGAGGUCACCCAUCCUGGGAUUGCUCUCGCAUCAACAUGCUUAACCUCGGAGUACCCAUCCCCUCCGAAGCCGCUGAGUCACCAAAAGGCCUCGUGUUAGAUUGGAGGUGGGCAUGUACAUAUACAACACAUAACCCCUCUCCGUUUGGCCGAUGUGGGAUAUUACAAUCCACCCCCCUUAGGAGUCCGACGCCCUCGUCGGCACACUCGCACCACACGGCAGAGUGGCUCUGAUACCAUUUGUCACAUCCCGGGACCCGCUCCGCCGUAACACGAUAUUGUCCGCUUUGGGCCCACCGGCCCUCACGGUUUUGUUUCCGGCAGCUCAGGAGCAGCUUCCCAGUAGGUCACCCAUCCUGGGAUUGCUCUCGCAUCAACAUGCUUAACCUCGGAGUACCCAUCCCCUCCGAAGCCGCUGAGCCACCAAAAGGCCUCGUGUUAGAUUGGAGGUGGGCAUGUACAUAUACAGCACAUAACCCCUCUCCGUUUGGCCGAUGUGGGAUAUUACACAUUGACAAACCCAUAUUGUUGUGGGUUUGAUUGAUAACCAAUGUUAGAAUUUGUGGCUUGUUACCAAAGUCAGAAUUUGGUGCGGAAGUGUAUAGUGUGUGGUGAUGGGCUAGAACAAUGUGUUUGGGAGUUGGGACAAUGGUAUUAGAAGCUAGAAGUUGGGAGAAAUAUGUUAACUAAUAAGACAAGUGAUUUAGGAGGAUAUAGAAUUGAAUACGAAACAGAUGAGGACUCACUUAGCUUAGCUUGCUUCAAACUAUUGUUUCAUUCAUCACAUUUGGAUUAAAAAACAAACCAGAUUUAGAGAAAACUAGAAACCUAAUAUAUAUUACCUGUGUUAGUUGCUCUAGGGUUUGUUUACAAGUAAGCAUUCUUAAACAACCGGAGAUGUUAACUUACAUGUUACUAUCAAUCAAAUUAAGAGACUUCUUGUAUUUUCUAAUGGAUUCAAGUGCUUAUUAACUAGGAAAAUUCUGCUGUGCCGGAAGGCAUAGCAUGCCUGCUGGAAAACACAGGCAAAACCACCCUCUGCUGGACCCCCUGUUGCACCUCCCCCUCUCCUUAGUGAAAGGCAUGCUAAACCCAAUUAACUAAGGGUUCAUUGCUUGUGAACUCUUUAUUCUAUUUGCGGAACCAUGCAACACUUCCAUGAUAUCGACAAUGAAGGCGAACCCCUAUGCUCACCGUGAGAACUUUCGCCUGAAUCACUACCUCUUAAUUUUGUCAGCAUCUGACAUUUCCUACCGAAGCAGUCUCUCAUUCGCAAUGUCGAAGCAUAAAUCGUAUAAAUAUAGGAUGCAGUAAUGAAAUAAUUGACAUUAUACUCGAAAGUUAUCACAUACUUUUUUCUUUUAUAGGAAAGCUGGCUAUAAUCUUUUUCAAGUAUUCAAGCUCUAGUACCGUUCUUCCCUUGAUCACUUACAUGACUCAGCACUUAAAUUAGGAGAAGCUCAUGCUAAUUUAGAUAUUAGCCGGCUUUGGACAUGUACUGGUUCUUGUAAUCAUCCCCGGCCAGAAACUUCCAAACAUUGUUGGGGUGGAUAUGUUUGUCAUAAGUUACUCUCCAAACAAAGAAGACAAAAAUAAAACCAGAAAACCGAUCGAAAGAACACCAACAAGACCGUCCGCAUACGUUUGUUUUUUCUUUUGAAACUCUUUGCACUGUGUCUUUGAUUGAAGUAAGUUUUAUAAAAUAUUGUUUAAUCCUUGUGGUUUGAAGUCGACAUCUGUUUAGUUCUUAUGGUUUUAUUUUAAUCUAAAUAGUCCUUAAAGUCAUGAUUUUUUAUCUAAAUAGUUCUUAUGCUUUUAUUUUAAUAUGAAUAAUCCUUAAAGUCAUGAUUUUUCAUCCAAAUAGUUCUUAUGACCUUUAACUGACUGAGAAAAUUGUCGGAAUGACUAUUUAGAUGAAAAAUCAUGACUUUAAAGACUAUUUUGAUUAAAAUAAAACCAUAAGGCCUAUUUGGAUGAAAAAUUGUGACUUUAAGGACUAUUCAGAUUAAAAUAAAACCACAAGAACUAAACAGAUGUCAACUUUAAAUCACAAGGACUAAACAAAUUUCAAUUCUUUAUAUAUUUAAGAUCUACGGCUAUCCAAGCAAACCAGCAACCAAACAUCAUGUUCUCAUCCCGGAAAUUACCUGCAUAUCAUCCCAGGAAGAGUUCCUAUCAUCCUGAUCAGUUACUGCUACGACUUUCAAUAUACGGGUUCAGCAAACUAUCUGUCAGGGAUCAACGUUUGCAUACAGAAGAAAUCCUAACAAAAGUAGUUGAAAAUGUUGCAGUGGAGCAGCUCUCUGAGGAAACAGACGAGGGUUUCAGAAUCAGAACAUUCACGGAGCUACUCAAGAAACUGCCAUCCGCCUAUAAACAAAUUUUCAUCACUAUGUUUAUUAAGAAGUUCAUGCAUGAGAGGCAAUUUGGGGAGUUAAUUUCUACAUUCAAGCACCUAGAAGCCAAUGAUCAACAAAAAGCGAUUGAAAUAAUUGUUGAAGUUGCACCCGAGAAGAAUCUCCAGAUUCUUGGGGAAGCAGAUGAGGAUUUCAGACUCCGAAGAUUUACACAGCUGUGUAGAGAUCAUACGGACCAAGUUUAUAAAUGCCUGCUUGUUGAUCGGAAAUAUCCCAAAUCCGGUAAUGAUCACAUCUUUUUGGAUAAUCUGCAGUCCCGCUUUUCGGAUUUUGUUUCAGGUUUCUCAACUAUUUGGUUCCAAGGACAAACCUCAGAUCUUCAAAAAGAAAUGAUUGAAAAACACCUUGGUGGUAGUACUGUUGGGGAUGGUAUAGUUGAGAAUGAAAGUGAGGAGGAUUUCCAACUCAGAAGCUUCACAACUCUGUACCGUAAGAAUGUAGUCGACUUUCAUGCCCAAGUAGAAUUCCUCGACUUUGCUAAUGAGAGACUGCUUCGGCAGGAAACUAAAAUUCCGCACAAAAGACUCAUCCUGCCUCAAGAUUCUGAAAGUGCUACCGAGUUACUCACGAGUCUCUCAACCUUCGUAUUCAGCCUACUCUUCGAGAAGGAGCAGCAAGAUAAGAUUGAAGAAAUGUCCAAGGAAGUUGGAUCAAGUCAUGUAACAGAAGAAAGUGAUGAAGACUUCAGAAAGGCCAGAUUCAAGGAGCUAUUUAGUGAGCUUCCAGUGAGUGGCCGAAUUGAGUGUUGUAAUGAACUCACUGAAAAAUUCAAGCGUGAAAGACGCUUCUGUGAGUCUAUUCUUUUGUUCAGGCGUUUAGGCUCUCAGGAACAAAUAGAGCUAAUCCAGAAUCUGUUUGAUCGGAUUUUGAACUUGCAUCCCUCAAGCCAAAGAUUCGACGUCAAAUCUGUCAUAGUGGAGAAGUUGACGGAGGAGAGUGAGGAGGAUUUUCGGCUCAGCAGAUUCAAGAAGAUGUAUUUGGCAGAGCCUUCCUCUGUUUGGAAUUGGUUUAGCUACCCUGAAGCUGAGAAGCUUGGUCGAAAAGCUACACAGCAACUGCAUAUAUCUGAAAAUAAGGUACCUGGAAUCCAAAAAUUCCGAUAUGCUGAAUUUUUCACGGGUUUUGCAGUCAUUUGGUUCAAAGCACGAUGCUCCCAUCAUCCAAGAAACCCCGUGCAUGUUAUACUUUCCGGUGAAUUUUAUGAAGAAGAUGAUGCAAGUGAUAAACUUUCUGAUGAAAGUGAGGAGGAUUUCAGACUAAGAAGAUUUAGAGAGGCGUUUGAGCAACUUGAAUUUUAUUCCAAGGAGCAGAUUGUUAGUUACAUUAAACUUACGUUAUUUCAUGAUCUAGGUUGUCAGCCUAUAAAUUAUGUGAGCAAUUGGUCCUCAAGAAGGGAAUUUGGAGGAAGGGGUUUGUUUGACCCUGAGUUCUUCAAGUUGAAAACUCUAAAUUUCAGAGGAGAAGUAAUUACUCCAAAUCCAGGAGCAGGAAGAGGAAGAGGAAGGCGGGAGAUUCAAAGGGUAGGAUGAGUUGUUCUCUUCUCACAGGUCCUUUAAUAGUAAAGUAAGGUGUAAUCCAUAUGGUAACUGUUACCAUGGUGUGGUAACUAGUAAGAUUGCACCAGAACUUAAUGUGAUGUAAUAACGAUUCCCGUCUUGUAUGAAUGUAAUUCCCUUAUCUAGUGUGUACUGUUUAGUUCGUGGUUGAGCAACUUGACUUUCUUCCACUGAGCGUAUCAGUUGGUUCAUGGUUUUCAGUAAUUUACAGUAUUCUGAUGAAAUACUCAGGUCAGUAAGGCCAUCAGAAGGAAGAGUUUGUAUAAGAGGAACAACUACUACUCAAGUAGGUGGAGGUAGAUGAGAAGGAAGUGCCCAAACAGUAGGAUGAUCGAGUUGCCUCAAGUUCACAGUUCAGGUAGCAAAUUACAAAUGAGGUCUACUCCUGCGAUUGAGAUCAACUUAGAUCAACAUAUGACACGGACACAAAGAGCCAGAGGAACUGACAAAGAGAGAGGGGAGAAAUAAAGGGAGCUUCCUUAUGCUCUUGUACAAUGUACAAACAAAACUUGUACACAACUAGUCUAGCUAUCGUUUGCACCAAAAGCUCCAAUGAUCAGAAAGGGAAUAAAGUGUUUACAGUGAUCUGAUGUUCUGAUGGAUGAUAGAUUUUUCAUCUUAUUUAGUCCAAAAUCCAAAUUAAAGGACCAUUGUUCAAGUCAUUCUCUAAUGUACUAGUCAUUUGGGUUAUGACUUAUGCAAUAUCUGAUCAAGUCUCCAACACAAUCAUUUGCAAUCGGAGAUGAUUCCAGCAGCCAAGCAGGUACAGAUAUUUCCCAAGUCAUUUGGGUUAGUUAUACUAUUCACUCGAUUCACUUUACUUAAUGAUGAACGAUGGAAUAACAUUGUGCAUGAGUCUCUCAGCCUUUGCAUUCAGCCUACUAGUCGAGAAAGAUCAGCAAAACAAGAUCGAGGAAAUGUCUAAAGCUGUUGGAUUAGGUCGUCUAUAUAACAAGAGACAGCUUGCCACAGAAAAAAGCGAGGAAGAUUUCAGAAUCGCAAGAUUAAAAGAUCUAUUUAGUUAACUUCCCGUGGGUGGCCAAAUUGAGUGUUUGAAUAACUCACGGAAAGAUUCUUACGUGAAACACGCUUCUGUGAGUCCAUUCUUUUGUUCAGGCGUUUGGCAUCUCAUGAACAAAUAGCUACUCGAGAAUCUGUUUGAUCGGAUUAUGAAGUUGCACCAGUCAAGCCAAAGAUUCGAUGUCAUAGUCGAGAAAUUGGAGGUGACAGAAGAAGAUUUUCGGCUCAGCAGAUUUGAGAAGAUGUAUAUGGCACAGCCUUCCUCUGUUUAGGAUUGGUUUUGUGGACCUGAAGCUGCCAAGCUUGGUCGAAAAGCUACAUUACAACUACAUACAUCUAAAUAUAAAGAGAUACUUAAAAUCCAGCAAUCCCGAUUUGCUGAAUUUUUCAUGGGUUUGGCAGUAAUUUGGUUCAAAGCACGAUGCGCCCAUCAUCCAAGAAACCCCGUGUCUGUUAUACUUUCUAGUGAACUGUUUGAAGAAGAUGAUGCAAGUGACAAACUUCCUGACGAAAGUGAGGAGGAUUUCAGACUACGAAGAUUCAGCGAGUCAUUUGAGCAACUCGAAUUUUCUUCCAUGGAGCGUAUUGUUCAAUACAUUAAAAUUACGUUAUUUCACGAUAUAGGUUACCAGCCUAUAAGAUAUGGUACCCGGUUUUCCUCAAAAAAAUCAUUAGAAGGAAGGUGUUCGUUUGACCCUGAAUUCAUCAAGUUGAAAACUCUAAAUCGAAGAGGAGGAACAGCUACUCCAAAUCCAGGAGCAGGAGGAGGAACAGCCACUCAAGUUGGAGGAACAGGAGGGCAGGGAAAAAGUACUCAGACGGCAGGACGAGUAACUCUCUUCUCACGUGUCCUUUAGUAGCAAAUUACAAAUAAGGUUUAUCCCUUAUGGUAACUGUCACCAUCAUGUAAUAACUAGUAGGAUUUGCACCAGAACUUAAUGUGAUGUAAUAACAAAUCCGUCUUGAAUUCUUUUAUCCAGUGUUUUGUUCAUGUUUGAGCAACUUCAUUUUCUGCCAUUGAGCAUAACAUAGCAUGCAUUAAACUCAUGAUAUUUCACGAUCUAGAUUAUCAUCCUUUACAGUAUUUCGAUCAAAUACUCAGGUCAGUAAGGCAAUCAGAAGGAAGUAGUUUAUAAGUUUGUAUACGUUCAACUUGAAAACUUAUAAUCUGAGAGGAGGAACAACUGCUCCAAAUAUAGGAGUAGAGGAGGAACAACUACUCAAGUAGGAGGAGGUAGAUGAGAAGGAAGUAGUGCUCAAACGGUUGGAUGAGUGGCCUUAAUUUCAUAAUUCAAGUAGCAAAUUACAAAUAUUAUUCCUGAUAGUUCAGCAAUAGAACCAAAUAGCCAGAGGAACUGAGAUAGAGACAGGGCAGAAAUUAUAGGAGCUUUCAUUGCAAUAUUUCAGUUUCUUGGUGUUUCCGUUCCUUCAGCUCUUCUACAAUGUACAAACAAAACUUGUACACAACUAAUUUAGCUAUCACUUUGCACUAGAAGCUCCGAUGGUCAGAAAAGGAAGAAAUUGUUUAUAGUGAUCUAAUGGGUGAGGGCUUUGUCAUCUUAUUUAGGUCCGAAUCUAAUGGAUGAAUGAAGAAUCUAUCUAAGCUGAAGUAACAAAACUACAAAAGCCCCAGAAUCCUGAACAGCUAUUCACUCUGUUCUAAACGGAUAUGAGAUAUAUUUUGGCCCAAAAUUAAUUAUAAAGUGAAUGGUUAAUUUGCAAAUUCGAAGGCUCAUUAUCCACUAGAACUUUCAUUUCAUUCGAAGCGCUCAUAGCUUCCAUUUUCCAACCUCCAUGGUCUUCACCUUCUAGGUUGACAUUUUAGGUGAAUUAUUCAUUUUGUUUAGGUGCACUAGAGUUGGCAUUUUAGGUGAGUUAUUCUUUUUUCUUUCUUAUCUUUUUUAAUCUACAUUUGUUUGGAGAAAAAUAAUUAGCUUACUAAUUAGAGUGUUCAUGGCAUAAAAUCAUAUUGAAUAAAGAAACAUAGACAUUUGUAUAGCAGACACCAAAAACACAGAACAAAUGGAAGCCAAAGCAAAAGUUUCAUUAUCAAAGGUUACAGGUUAUAUAUAGCAAAUCACCCUAAAUUCCAAAAGCAAGGAAAAAAGAAGUUAACCCUGAGAAAUUGCGGACACCUAUAAAAAAGUUUGAAACUUUCAACUCACCCACCUACCAGUUUUAUAUAAUUAUAUGCAGAUUAUUCAUGUUAAACAUAUGAAAUUACAUUCUAUUCGAUAACCCAUUAGUCUUAAACUCAAGAGAAAAGGGGAAAGAUAUAAAACCAUAGAUUAGAAAGGGGAUACCGAAUACUUACCUGAAUUGAAACUUCCGAAUCCUGACUGUGGCAGUACUUGAAAGAAAAAGAAAAAAUACCUUUCAAAGCUCAGGAAAUCUUCGAAUUCAAAGGGCAAGAAAGAACGCGAAUAUGACCUUGCAAAGCUCUGAUCUCCAUGGAAGUCCUGGACAUCUUCAGUUUUCAGAAGGGCAACAAUAGUAUAGUAUGAGAUGGGGGCAACGAAACGUGAAGAAACGAGAUGUUUUGUUUGCCAAAGUUUUGGGCCGCGGAGAAAGGUUUUAGGUGGUCUUAGACUUUAGGGUUUAAGUUUAGACCCAAUAUCUAACGUUCAAAAAGAGGCCCAACUUCAGUAUCUCUUUGGCAAACAAGAAGAAGAAGAAGAAGCAUAUAAUGCAAAGAACAAAACGAGGUCGAAUUUUCCCUUCACCCUUGAAAUGAUAGACACAAGAAUGAAUCGACUAAGUUCUUGCAACGAUAUCAUCACUGUUAAGAUGAUGAAAAUGUUAAGAUGAUGAAGGCCCAGUUGAACAACAUAUAAGCCCAAUUGUGGUCCAGGUUUAUAAUAACUGUUAUAAAUAGAGAUAAAUCCCUUUUUAGAAUAAAAAAGCUGAAAACCAAUUUUUGUACAAUUACGAUGUUAUCAAUCUCAGUAGCUCACUUCGUUUUCUCUCUACCAUUUUCCAUGGUUGUUCUUCAAGUUUUUAUCAUGACCUUGAUUUUUAGCACAAUCUACGUACAUUCAUGAUCUUACUAGCUAGAAGUCUUUGUAAUAUGUAACUCAUCCACCUUACAGAUUCUAUAAUUCUAUGC